This 594-nucleotide small RNA is filed under the name uncultured fungus. RNAcentral describes it as "eukaryotic LSU rRNA". The stretch from base 172 to 326 matches the Rfam family "5.8S ribosomal RNA". Lineage: Eukaryota; Fungi. The record is from RNAcentral.
CUUCAAACGGGGACAUGUGCACGCUCUGUUUACACAUCCACUCACACCUGUGCACCCUCCGUAGUUCUAUGGUCUGGGGGACCCUGUCUUCCUGCCRUGGUUCUACGUCUUUACACACACUCUGUAAUAAAGUCUUAUGGAAUGUAUGCCGCGUCUAACGCAAUACAAUACAACUUUCAGCAACGGAUCUCUUGGCUCUCGCAUCGAUGAAGAACGCAGCGAAAUGCGAUAAGUAAUGUGAAUUGCAGAAUUCAGUGAAUCAUCGAAUCUUUGAACGCACCUUGCGCCCCUUGGCUAUUCCGAGGGGCAUGCCUGUUUGAGUAUCAUGAACACCUCAACUCUCAUGGUUCGCCAUGAUGAGCUUGGACUCUGGGGGUUUUGCUGGCCYGCGGUCGGCUCCCCUCAAAUGAAUCAGCCUCCCAGUGUUUGGUGGCAUCAYGGGUGUGAUAAAUAUCUACGCUCGCGGUYGUCUGCCAGGUAACCUUUGGUGACAAAGGUUUGCUGGAGCUCACAGAUGUCUCUCCUCGGYGAGGACAGCUUUUUUGAACGUUCGAUCUCAAAUCAGGUAGGACUACCCGCUGAACUUAAGCAUAU